CUACUGGGGUAUCUAAUCCUGUUUGCUCCCCACGCUUUCGCACCUCAGCGUCAGUUCCGAGCCAGUGAGCCGCCUUCGCCACUGGUGUUCUUCCUAAUAUCUACGAAUUCCACCUCUACACUAGGAGUUCCACUCACCUCUCUCGGACUCUAGACCACCAGUAUCAAAGGCAGUUCCGGAGUUGAGCUCCGGGAUUUCACCCCUGACUUAAUGGUCCGCCUACGUGCGCUUUACGCCCAGUAAUUCCGAACAACGCUAGCCCCCUUCGUAUUACCGCGGCUGCUGGCAC
Molecule: ribosomal RNA, 289 nt
Filed under: uncultured Hyphomicrobiales bacterium
Lineage: Bacteria; Pseudomonadati; Pseudomonadota; Alphaproteobacteria; Hyphomicrobiales
Description: uncultured Rhizobiales bacterium partial 16S ribosomal RNA
Source: RNAcentral